Molecule: non-coding RNA, 108 nt
Organism: Ricinus communis (castor bean)
Lineage: Eukaryota; Viridiplantae; Streptophyta; Magnoliopsida; Malpighiales; Euphorbiaceae
Source: Rfam
AUAUCUAUGGUGUGAACAUUGCAAUAGGAGUGAUUUGAAGCGAUCCCAUGUUUCAUGAAAGAAUUCAGUAUCCUUUUGAUAAAAAUUAGAAAUUUCAGCUCUUAAUUC